This 292-nucleotide ribosomal RNA is filed under the name uncultured bacterium. Its description in RNAcentral is "partial 16S ribosomal RNA". It matches the Rfam family "Bacterial small subunit ribosomal RNA", at positions 505 to 796 of the family's 1533-position model. The record is from RNAcentral.
GUGUCAGCAGCCGCGGUAAUACGAGAGGCCCAAACGUUAUUCGGAUUUACUGGGCUUAAAGAGUUCGUAGGCGGCGCAGAAAGUAGGGUGUGAAAGCCCUCGGCUCAACCGAGGAAUUGCGCUCUAAACUACUGUGCUCGAGGAACCUAGAGGUGAGCAGAACUGAUGGUGGAGCGGUGAAAUGCGUUGAUAUCAUCAGGAAUACCGGAGGCGAAGGCGGCUCACUGGGGGUUUUCUGACGCUGAGGAACGAAAGCCAGGGGAGCGAACGGGAUUAGAUACCCCCGUAGUCC